RNAcentral lists this ribosomal RNA (253 nucleotides) under uncultured bacterium. RNAcentral's name for it is "partial 16S ribosomal RNA". It matches the Rfam family "Bacterial small subunit ribosomal RNA", at positions 524 to 776 of the family's 1533-position model. The record is from RNAcentral.
UACGUAGGGUGCAAGCGUUGUCCGGAAUUAUUGGGCGUAAAGAGCUUGUAGGCGGUUUGUCGCGUCUGCUGUGAAAUUUCGGGGCUCAACCCCGAACUUGCAGUGGGUACGGGCAGACUAGAGUGUGGUAGGGGAGACUGGAAUUCCUGGUGUAGCGGCGAAAUGCGCAGAUAUCAGGAGGAACACCGGUGGCGAAGGCGGGUCUCUGGGCCGUAACUGACGCUGAGGAGCGAAAGCAUGGGGAGCGAACAGG